UACGUAGGUGGCAAGCGUUAUCCGGAAUUACUGGGUGUAAAGGGAGCGCAGGCGGGACUGCAAGUCAGCGGUGAAAAUUAUGGGCUCAACCCAUAGACUGCCGUUGAAACUGUAGUUCUUGAGUGGAGUAGAGGCAGGCGGAAUUCCGAGUGUAGCGGUGAAAUGCGUAGAUAUUCGGAGGAACACCAGUGGCGAAGGCGGCCUGCUGGGCUCUAACUGACGCUGAGGCUCGAAAGUGUGGGGAGCAAAC
Molecule: ribosomal RNA, 250 nt
Filed under: uncultured prokaryote
Description: partial 16S ribosomal RNA
Rfam family: Bacterial small subunit ribosomal RNA
Source: RNAcentral